This is a long non-coding RNA of Canis lupus familiaris (dog), 608 nucleotides long. RefSeq lists it as uncharacterized. The record is from RefSeq and is a predicted model, not a curated record. The transcript has 3 exons. Lineage: Eukaryota; Metazoa; Chordata; Mammalia; Carnivora; Canidae.
UCUCAGCCCUGUGGGGACAAAGAAGCUGACUAUGGGGUGGGGAGGGAGUCCCUCUUGCCUGAGCCACCAGGUCCAGGAAGCCUCUCAGUGGAGGAACUACAUCUCAAGCCUGGGUACAGAGCUUUGCCCUUGGCUCUUUAUGGGGAAUGGGGUUCUCCAAUUGAUCCCCCUAGCAUGUAGUGUUCUAGGAACUCUCAUCCAUACAGGGAGGGAAGAGCCUACAAGUGUCUCCUACGGAAUUUGUCUUUGCUGGACACUUCACAGAAAUGGAAUCGUACAGUAAAUGGUGCUUUAUGACCGGCUUCUUUUGCUUUGCGAGUCAUCAAGAUUCACCCAUGUCUAUAUGUGCUACUGAAACAAGCACCUUGGUAUCCAAAUCUGACCUCCAAGUUUGGACGUCUUGCUCACAUUUUAUACAGGAAGUUGACUCACCCUCUGCAUAUGUGCCCGCAAAGACCUGAGAGGGAGCACAAAGAGGUUCCCAAGUGCUGUCCUACCUGAGAGCAGUCAGGGGACACCCCACUCUCUCCAACUCUGAGGAUCAACCACACAAGCAUAUACUGAGCCUGAUUGGUUUUAUUCUUAGGAAAUAAAGGUGGAUUAAUUGA